CUUUUCUAAUGUGUGGAGGUUUCCACUUACCUCACCACUGGUUUCUAAUCUAAUUCUGUGGUGGCCAACAGCAUGACCAGCAAGUUAGUCAGCAUGUCCAUUAUCUCAUAUACUAAAGGUCUCUGUGUGUGUGUGGGGGGGGGGCUUAAGAUCCACUCUCAGCAAAUUUCUGAUGUACAGUGGGGUAUUAUUCACUACAAUAGUCAUGCUGUUCACUGGGUCUCCAGAACUGUCUUCAUAUCCUUUGACCAACAGCGUCCCAUGUCCCCACAAUCUGCAGCCGUCACCCUGAUCUCUGCUUCUCUGUUGGGAAUAUCUUCCGGUGUCUCCUGAAUCCACCUCCAGCUGAUGUCCUCUCUGUGGUGAAGCUGUGUUUUUCUUUGAGAGAGCUGGAGAUUAAACCUUGAACAUCCAGGCUACAGUUUGUCAACAAGAGAAGCCAAGGUGCCUGGAGGUGGUGGCACAUGCCUGUGAUCCCAGCACUCAGAAGGCAGAGGCAGAUGGAUCUCUGUGAGUUCGAGACCAGCCUGGUCUACAGAGGAGUUCCAGGACAGCCUCCAAAGCCACAGAGAAACCCUGUCUAAGAAAGAAGAAGAAGAAGAAGAAGAAGAAGAAGAAGAAGAAGAAGAAGAAGAAGAAGACAGACCCCGCCCACUCACAUUCUCUUAUCCUCUCUCUUUUACUCCUCUUACUCUCCUCUCUUCCUUUCCGAUCUUCUCUCUACCCCCCUCCCCCACCUUUAAUAAACUAUGGUUAAUGUACUCUCUAGUUCGUGUUCCAUCUCUCGGUUCUUUUCUAAUUAUUAAACUUUUACAAAAUAACAACAGACUGUUACACAGAGAAAUCCUGUCUUGAAAAUCAGAGAGAGAGAGAGAGAGAGAGAGAGAGAGAGAGAGAGAGAGAGAGGGAGGUCAAGGCAGGAACCUGGAAGUAGCAACUGAAGCGGAGACCAUGGAGGAACACGGUUCACUGGCUUGCACAGCUUGCUUUCUUCCACAGCCCAGGGCCACCUGCUCAGUGGGGCAGCACCUACAGUGGGCCAAGCUCUCUCUCAUCAAUCAAUAUUCAAGAAGAUGCACGCAGGCAUUCCCACAGGCUGAUCUGUGGAGGCAGCUGCUCAAGAGGGUGAUCCUAGUUUGUGUUAAAUUGGCAAAAAUAAUUAGCACGUCCCCCAACUCUCCCAACAACGACAGGGUGGGACGGGUGGCACGUGCCUGUGACUGUAGCUCACGGGAGGCAGAACUAAUGCGAACUAAGUCGGCCUGUGUUUCAGGACAGGUGAAGCUGCACAGCAAAACUCUGCAAAGACAAACAAAAAACCCAACAAACGACAAAAGAAAACAAAAACCCAAACAAAAAACCUCUCCAAAGAGAUACAAAACAGACUACCACUGAAGGGACCCUAGCCCAGGUGGCUCUGGCAGGCCUUGACCUUCUCCCCAAUUCCCACUGCCCUACUAAAAAUGUUAAGAUGAUAUUCUUGAAGCUAGCCCCUAAGGUCUAUUCCUUUAUUUGGCAGCUUCCUCCUCCUGAGGCUGACUAUCAAGGUUCAGUUAUCAAGUAUUGAAGUCCAGCAAUCAAAAGCCUCUUUGGCUCACCUAAUUAACACGCCCAGUUAAUAUUAAAUACCUUAUCCUAACAUGGGUUUCUCCUUAUGCCUUUAUAAAUGGCCAUUUUCCUAUGUGCCAAGCAUCUGUUGAGGAAUAUUAUUUUAACUGUGUAAAUGUGUGUUACAUUUGUUUAUGCUGCAUUCGUUUAAUUAUGUAAAGAUGUGUUGUUGUACCUUGCCUGUCUAAGGCACAUGAUUGGUCUAAUAAAAAGCUGAAUGACCAACGGCUAGGCAGUACAGGAAGAGGCGGGGCUGGAGGGCAGAGAGAAUAUAGGAGGAGGACUGUAGGUCCCAGAGAAUGAGAAAAGAAUGAGACAGGGAGAGAGGCGUCAGGGGUCAGGCAGCCGGAGGAAGCAGCAGGGAGCAGAGCCUACAGAAGGAAAGAAAAAAAAAAAAGCUCUAAAAUGUAGAUGAAGAGAAACAGGUUAAUUUAUUAUAAGAGCUAGUGGGACAAGCCUAAGAUAAGGCUGAGCAUUUAUAGCAUAUAAUAAGUUUCUGUGUCAUGAUUUGGGAGCUGGAUGGUGGCCCAAAGGAAAGCUUGCUACAGUCUCCUCUCUAUCUAGAGGCGGUCCCCCUCCCCCGCCCCAGACAAAUACCCCUGUACUCUUUCCCUUGCUCCCUUCCCCUUCUCCCCCAUCCUCUAUCUCUGCCUUUGUCUCUUAUUCCCUGCCUUCUGUCCCUCUGGGGCAAUAAAUCACCUUUGUGCUGAGAACUUGGUCUUGGUGUGUCUUGACGACUUCGAGGUUCCCUACAGCUAUGACAGUGCUUCAGAUAUGGACACACAGUGGCCAGGGAAUCAGGAGUUGACCUGUUACGAGUGUUCCUUCUCAAGCUAUGCUGGCAGACACGGCCCUGAGGGAGUUAGGGAAGCCCCCAUGGCUGUGCUGUCCAAUAUGGAAGCCAUUAGUCACAGGAAGCUGUGUUCCUGUCAUUGAGAUAAAAUGCCUGCCAUCAACAACAUUAAGGCAGGAAAGUCAUUUUGGCUCAUGGUUUCACAGUAGUGGGAACAUGUUGGCAAAGGCUGUGUACUUCAGGGUGGCCAGGAAGCAGUGACGUGUCCCCAAGUGACAUACUUCCCCCACAGGGCUCCACCCCGUCAGGUUUCCAGAACAUCACAAAAGAGACUGAUGGCUGUGGAGCAAGCAUUAAACACAUGCGCCUCCGGGUAGCAUUUCAUACGUAAACAGCAAUAGCUGUCUCAGUUUUCAAUGAAAUAAAAUGUAGACUGUCAUCUGCUGAAAAGGUGACUUGCUCAGUGGCACUAGCAGCAUUUACAGGGCUCAGUGGCACCUAUGGCUAAGGCAACCACAAUGCCCAGCGCAACUGAACUCUUCCCUGUACUGCUGCAACCUGCGCUAUGCGGAACAAGGCUUUCCAGUUUUGGUGUCUGCUUUGUUAGUGUUUUUCAAGAUGGUGGUGCAGACUUGUAACUCCAGUUACUCAGGAGUCUGAGGCAGGAGAAUCACAAGUUCAAGUCUUUAGCUGAACUACAAAGUGAGUUCAAUGCUGACCCAGGGAAUUCAGUGAAAUUCUCUCUCAAAAUAAGGGGGAAAGAGGACUGGAGAGGUAGCUCAAUGGUAGAAUGCUUGCCUAGCAUGUAUGGGGCCCUGGGUUCGAUUCCCAGUGCUGAGAACAAAACAAAACAAACCCAUUUGACUGGCAUCUGGGACAGGUGCUUCUUGUUUAUCUCCACAGUCUUCCAUCUUCACUGGAAACUUCAAGUUUAGAAACAUUCAGGGGUGUCAGGGAAACUCUUUUCAGCAGUGACAUUUAAAGCCAGGUGACAAGAACAGCAGUCUCAAGAGGGCAGUGUUCAAGGGCAAGUCUCACAAAUGCAUUCAAGUGUGUCCCGGCUGAGGUGAAAGAGAUGCACAUACCCCCGCCCCCCAGGGUGCCUCUCCUGCCCCACCCUCAGGGCUACUACCGUUUUGUUCCUUUCUCCCCUGGACAAAGCCCCAGGCCUGUAGCUCACCGCUCUCUGGCUGAGAGGCCUUUUGUGAACUUAACCAGGGCAGAAAGAAAACCUGCCUCUGAAAAGAAACGAAGUAGCAAACGCACAGAGCAGAACAAGAUGAGGCAGGGUGGAGAGGCAGGAGCAGGAUGGGAGCCGGGAUUGUUCGUUCCCUUGGAAUUCACUGGCUCUCCGAACACUGUGGGUGUCAACAGCAGGGCUUCCGGGCGAGUGAGCACCCUCCAUGCUUCCCUGCACUACUCAUCUGAGCUUUCUUCACGCAAAACCCCACGCCAUCAUUAAAAGCAAAGAACUGCACCCUGCAGCAUUAGUUUGCUUGGGUGUAGGUAAGCGACCAAGCUCUUCCAUCUGCAGACUCAGAGCUGAAGACAUGGGGCUGAAGUGGCGCAGUAGGUAAGAGUACUGUCCACUCUUGCACGGGCCUGGAGUCAAUUCCCAGCACCCACAAGGAGGCUCCUAACUCCAGUUCCAGGAGAUCUGAUGUCCUCUUCUGGCCUCCAAAAGCACUGGUGACACGUGGUACAGAGACUAUAUGUAGGCAAAACAGCUACACAUAAAAAUAAAGAAGAUAAACAUUUUACACAAAAGCCCAGGGGACAUGAAUGUCAGUGUUUUGUCGACAAAGCACUAACAGUUUUUUUUUUUUCAUAUGCUUACACACAGUUCAUGUAUAAAACAUGCACGCAGACAUACCUGUGUAUGUGGAGAGGUGAGAGGGAGAACACGCUCAUCACUGAGGUUGCCGUGUGACCAUGGGGUGGGGUGGUAAGCUGUAGCUGGCUGCCAGGCUUGGCAAGAGUUAGGGUUGUGGUCUUGUAUCUGGAGGUGGCUGGCAGCAGGAGUCUUUCUUUGAUGGGGCCUGAUCUUUCUUCCUAGGGGCCUUCACCUGAUUGGAUGAGGCCCAUUCAUACUGUCAUCCUCGACUCUGAUUGUAAAACAGCCACACUGUCAGCCACAGAGGUACAUGCCUGCACUCUGAAGGCAGAGAGACAGGUGGACGGAGAGAUUAAAGUCAGCCUGGGCUAUACAAUUCAAGUUUUAUUUUUCUAAAAGCCAAAUUGAGGCAUAAUUGGUAGGCAAUAAACUCAUUGUAGCCAACGCAUACAAUCUGAGAAAUCUGGACAAGUGCCUAAAACAGUACCACAAUCCAAAUAAAAGAGACCAUCUCCUUCAAGUGCUUGCCUGUGUACCCCAGCCUCACCCUCUCAUGUGUGGGUAGGAACAUGGUCCUGGAGACCUAGUCUUUUCCACAGUUUUAAGUGAGUAUACUGUACUUCUGGCCCUGUGCUGGGGGGCGCUCUCUAGAACAUACUCAUCCUGCACAACUGAAACUUGACAGCAAUGGAGUAACUCCCCAGCCUCCUCUCCCCCCACGCUUGCCUUUUAAAGUAAACCCAGCCACUAAAGUCUGCACACCAGCUUCCAGUGGUGUGUGCGGUGACCUGUAGCUUUCUCCAAUAUCUACAUUGUAACUCCUUUGGACAUGACUAUCUCUGGCAAGAGGUGGCCUGUCUACAAGCUUGUGGCAGCCCUCUAAUUGUAACACUUAGCUCUCCAGAGCUGCCACAGAGUCCCUUUGCACCCAUGAAGAUCUGGGUUUUGCUUUUGCUUUUUAUCUUCGUCCUUUUACUGCACCUGGCUGCUUUUAUCCACUCACUACCCUUACACUUGGGCUGCCUCAGGGUCUUCAAUGUUAGAGAACAAUGUCCCAGUGAAUGACACCCUCUCCAACUCGGGCACAAGUGUGCAAGCAUUCCUGCAGUACACAUUUCUUUGCUUACUGCAUCUUCACACUUUCCCAAAGUGGCUCCCCCAGGUUACCCACUCACCAGAGUUGAGAAUGCAGUUGCCCACAGCCUUAUCAGCACUUGGGAUGGACAGACUCAAAUUUUGCUAAGCUAAUGGUACACUGAAGCCAAGUAACUACUCACAUGUAACUACCUGUGUUUCUUUUAUUUUCUUUUGCAUUUAACUCCACCCUGUAUUUCUCUGUCUCUGGCUGGAUACAGAAGAUCUGAAGUACAGUCCCCAGGUAACACGGCUGUGAAGCUUUUCUAUACACUUAAGGAAAUGCACACAUAGACUUCUGAGGAUCUAGGAACAUAAGCGGGUUCCUGAUUCCUAUUUGUCUUUGGCUUCAAGUAUCAAAGGGCCACAUUAACAGUGUCUUAAACAAGUGGGCUGGAUGCUCAGCUAAAGCAAUGCUGAAGAAGUCCGAGUCUGCAGGAGAGGCUGUGGGUCCAUCCCACAUGCAAAACCCUACCAUCUUUCUCUGCCAUCCUUACACGGGAAUUAUCCUCAAGCUCAUCUGCAGCUCCAGGCUUCUGGAUACCAGGAAGGAACAAUGUCAGCUCAGAGACACAAAAGUUUUCAUAUAAAUAUGAGGCAAUCCAUGUGUCUAACAGGAAUUUCAGCAUUACUCUCACACUCUGAACCAAAGCAAGUAUUCUGUCAAUGAUAGGAACUAGGAAGAAGGCAGCUCUGGCUUACAACAGGUAUCUGGGAUGUGCAUUCUAGGGACAUUUUUUUUUCACAGUAGCAUCAAAUGUAUGAACACAAGUGAUUCAUUUGCAGACAUCAUGGGACACAGAGUUCCCACAAGUCUGGGAACUUUACAGGCUGCCCUUUUGCUCACUCGCUACUGCUCACUUUAGGAUCUAAGGUUCUCUUGUUUUUGCCCCUUUUCAAUAAUUAAACAAUAAUUUAAAAUGCUUCAACUGGACAAAAGCUUCCCUAUACACCGAGUUUUCCAUGCAGGCCUCUUGCCACAAAAAUGCAGGAAACUCAAGCAUAGGGUGUCAGAGAAAAGUGCAUGGGGCUACAGAAGAAAUCUAAUUUGUUUUUUGUUGUGUUUGUGAAAUAAGUAUCCUUUAAUGUCCCCUGUUACUAAGCUAAGCUAUGAGCGCACCUUAUUCCGUAGAUGAAGACAUAGCAGGAUGUCCAUGCAGGACCAGAGAAGGUGUGGUGCAGCCCACAGUCUAAAGCUAGGUCACGGGGAGGAGGUUUGGAGAAGGAAGCAGCAAGUAUAAGACUGCCCAGCAAUUAGGCUUCUCCAUAAAAGCAACAGCCAGCUUUGAACACUCAAGUAGAACAGGAGACACGGUAACUGAACGAUGCCUUGAGUUAGGGCCUGAGUGGUUAACUAUUAGGUGACCAAUCACCCUGGGAUAACAGUAAAGCUUUGAGGAGAGGUUCAGUGAUUGACAUUCCAGGUAUACCCUGACAUUGCCACUGCCUCUGUUGUGUCAAUGUCAAGUGUUCACCGUGUCUAGCAGGGAAGGUCUGAGGACCAUCUACUCCAGAGACCAACAUUUUUAAUUCCUAGCUGGGAGGUUUCCCUCUAACUUUGCCGGUGGCAAACUUGAACUAAGAACUUGAAUGAUGUACCCCCUGGCUAUCCCACAGGAUCUCUGAAAAAGCUACACACUCUGCAGUGAGGUGGGGGGUAGGGGUGGGGUGGAAACCAAGGAACCCUUCGCCCACAGCUUCUCUGCCUUACAGGGUGAUAUAACUUUUAUGUGAUGUUUGACUUUAAAUACUGGCUGCUGUCAUUUUAUUGGGAAAUACUUUUAUCUGGGUGUGGUGCUGCAUUCCCGUAAUCCCAGUACUAGGGAAGAGGAAGAACUGUGAGUAAUACAUCAGUCUGGACGACUACAGGAGACCCUGCCUCAAAAGGCUCAAAAUUAAAUGCAAACAUCCAGCAAAUAUUUUUCUUUCCAACCAAGUAGCACAUGAAAAUUUUCCACUGUGAUUUCCCCGAUGCCCCAGGACAUACAGACCUACUGACGUCAGACAGAACUCAGUUCAAAUCCCAGCUCUGCUGCUCAGCAGUUGUACAAAUGAGUUGACUCCAUCAAGCCUCAGAGUGUGUGCACCCUGCAGAGCCCAUGGGGAGGAUCAGGUGGAAUUACACAGGGGUUUGGACCAUGCCUGGCGAUCCUACGUGCUUGAAAGGCAGAUAGUGAUGGCAACUGUCCAUCUUUAAUCUCCCCCCCCCCUUUUUUUUUUUCAAUUCCAAAAUCAAAAUGAAAACUGGUAGGAUCUGGUCCUUGGCCUAACUUCACAAGCCUCUUCAGGAAUGCCCACUUUAUGUAACAGGAGGCAGCCUGAUGUAACAAGAACUGUCUUUCUCGCCUUUGCUAUGGGCACACAUGUGGCUGGGAGCUAGAGGAAACCUCUGCCUUCGCUCGGUUGCUGUGAGGGUGAAAGACAAUGUGCACACGUCACACCUGCCAUGUGGGACAUUCAGCAGGCACUAGCCCCUUCUCUCUAACUCUGCAGUUCUCCCAACUCUGCAGUCCCAGAGCUGAACCGCAGAGGGGUGGACCAGAGGAAUGGCGCUGCGUACCUGAGCUCUCUCUCCAAGGCCUGAGUCAGGCUUGCAUUUUCAUAGAUACUCAGAUUUACAAAGCCAAGAAAUGGUGAUGGCUUACUUGCCUCCAUAAAAGAGCAGAAACAGAAUGGCAGCUGCUAGAGUCACUGGCUGUGGACUGAGUCUUCGUCUAGGUGAAACCUGCAGACAGUGGGACCCAGGGUAGCAGUGAUUUGGAAGUGAUGGGGUUCUUUCUCACAUUGGCUUGGAGUGCAGUGGAGGAGCAGAGGUGAAGCCCGCCAGGUCUUUGACUCUGGUCGUGGUGCUGAAUGGUCCUAUCGGUGCCACACAGCUCCACAACUCCUAUGGCAGCAGAAGAACCCUCAGAAUAGUGAAAGUGCUGGAGAGAGAGUGAGCACAUGCCAGUCCUCCCUGCUAGCACAUCUAACAGCCUAUUGAAGCUGUUGAGUGUCCAUGACUUCCGUUAGAGGAAUAAGAUUCAGGAGAGUUUUUGUUUGUUCAUUUGUGUUUUGUUUUUAUUUUUUUGUUUUUGCUAAAAUUCCCAGUGCCUAAGCAUUAUCUAAACUAGUGGUUUUUUUUUAAUUGAAUUUUUUAUUUUACACACCAACCACAGUUUCCGCUUCUUCCUUUCCUCCCAUUGCCUCCCCCACCUCCUCAGAAAGGGUUAGGCCUCCUAUAGGAGUCAAUGAAGCAUGGCCUAUCAAGUUGAGGCAAGACUAAGUCUCCCCCCGCACCCCCCCCCCCCGAAUUAAGGUUGAGCAAGGCAUCCCACCAUAGGGAAUGGGCUCCAGAAAGCCAGCUCAUGCACCAGGAUGACGUAAGUGGAUAGUGACGUAAAGCAAAGGAUAACCAGGCUUCAAUCCACAGCUCCAGAGAAGCUAGGUAACAAGCAAGGACCCUAAGAGGGUCCCAUAAAUAGCCCUGGGAAUGGGAAAUAGACGAGGUCUCCUGGGUAAAUUGGGGACGGGGAACGCAGGGGGAUGGGGAUAAGGGAUGGGAACUUGAGUUAUCAGGAUGGCCGGGUUGGGGGAGAGAUGGAGAGGGACAGCAAUGAAAGAGAUAUCUUGAUAGAGGGAGCCAUGAUGAGGUUAGGGAGAAACCUGGUGCCAGGGAAACUCCCAGGAAUCCACAAGGAUGACCUCUAAGACGCCUAGUAAUAGAGGAGAGGGUGCCUGAGCUGGCUUUCUCCUGUAAUCAGAUUGAUUAUUACCCUAACUGCCAUCAUAGAACUUUCAUCCAGUAACUGAUGGAAGCAAUGCAGAGAUCCACAGCUAAGCACCAGGCUGAGCUCUGGGAGUCCAAGUGAAGAGAGGGAGGAGGGAUUAUAUGAGCAAGGGGGGAGGCCAAGAUCAUGAUGUGGAAACCCACAGAGACAGCUGAGCACAGCUGAGAGCUUGUGGGAGCUUUCAGACUCUAGACUGACAGCUGGGGAGCCUGCAUGGGACCAAAACACCAGUAGUGUUUUGAACAGUCAGAAUACAUCCUGGCUCAGAGCAAGCUGCGGGCAGGCCAGGCACAGCAGUAUUUCUUCAUGUGUGGAGAAUGACAACAGGCAUGUCAUGGGUUCCUCAGACAAUGUCCACUAAACCUGCUGCUUUUCAGACUGCUUCACAGACAAAGUGUGUGGGAAAUAGCACUUUGUGGCCCAUAUGUGCAGAGACCCUGAAUUAAGAAGCUUACAGACAGCAGGCUUUAAUGCCGGUACUCAGGAGGUUAGAGGCAGCUGGAGCUCAGCUCAAGGCUAGUUUGGCCCACAUAGUGAGUUCCAGGACAGCCAGAACUACACUGAGACCCUGUUUCAAAGAGAGAAAAAAUGUACAGCCUGCUAGCUGAGAAAACAGUAAGGAUGAGGUGUGUGGCCAGAGAUGACACGUGGAAAGGACAAUGACAGUGGCCUAUUGUGCCCUGAAAAGUAGACAGAGAAGCAUUUGGCUUUGUGUCUGUUAUGUGUGCCCAGGCAAGUUCAUGGGUACAGGGACAUGUAUACACACAUAUGUGUGUUUAGUAGCCAGGAAACCUCGGGGGCCAUUCCUCAGGAGCCAUCCACUUUGAUGAAACAGGCUCUCUCACUAGUUUGUAGUUCAGCAACUAGGCUGGGUUGACUGGCCCAUGAGCUCCAGGGACCUGCCCAUGUCCCCUUCCCCAGUGCUGGGAUUAUGAGCAGUCACCACCGUGCUCAGCUUUUUAAAAUGUGGGUUCUAGGAAGCAAACACACAUCUUCAUGUUUGUAUGACAAGUGGCUUUUCUCGAUGAGCUGUCUCCCCAGUACCAGAAACACACACACCUGAGUAUGUGAGGUCUAGAAAUGAGCUCCAUUUUGCUAUGAUGUCCUGGUCACAACUCUUGCUGAGUGUUUCCUGGAUUGUGUCUGUCCCUCCAAGGACUGCCAGCCAGGGAAUGGCUGCCUAAUCAUGGGCAGGUUGGGGCAAAGUAUGGUUAAUCUGCUCCGUGGACACCGUCUCCACUGCUUUGCUCCAGCACAAGUAGAGAUUGGAAUGCGGGGGAGGAGUCAACAAAAGGACACACAGGAAUGUGUCUUGGAGGUGCCUGCCAUGCCAGGAGCCCUUCCUCCGGUUGACCUGGGUGAAUAUUAGGAUUAACUCCUCACUCCCAUGCCUCCUGGGAUCUCUUCAUCAGCGGGCAUGUGCCACCACACUCGGUAUCUGGAGUGCUGGGGCUCGAACCCAAGGCCUUGUGAAUGAGUGCAUGCUAGGGUAAUCAUUCUACCUCUUAAACUGAUGUCCAGCGGGAAAACAAAGCACUUGUCAUCAGUGUAACUGCUUCAGGCAGGGCCU
Molecule: long non-coding RNA, 10709 nt
Filed under: Cricetulus griseus (Chinese hamster)
Lineage: Eukaryota; Metazoa; Chordata; Mammalia; Rodentia; Cricetidae
Description: lncRNA (ENSCGRG00015030848.1)
Source: RNAcentral